AUGGCAACCGCCCUGGUAACCCAUAGCAACCGCGACAAAAAAGGGAGGGGGAGGAGGAGGGGGAACGACCACGUCCACCAAGAGGCAGCAAUGUACUGCGCAGGCUGGGAAUGCGGGCCCGAGCCCCGGCGGCAUAAGAGCCCAGGCCUGGCGAGCCCCUCUCGCCAGGACGGGAGAAGGGCUGGUCGCUGCAGGACCGGGGGAAGGGGGUGCUGGCGGAUGUGGCUGGGCAGCCUUCCCUCUCUCGGUCCCACCCGGGGGUGGAGAGCAGUGGUUGAGGGCUUUAAUGGUCCCCCGCCCACUCCUGUGCGGUCUCUUCCGGGCACAUCCGGGAGAGGGAGGAGCCCCCACCUGUCCCCACCUUUGGUGGUGGAAGGGACUUAUUUAUUCGGUAUAAAGGCGGUGUCUGCGCCCGGCUGGCUGUGGUGUCUGUGCCGCUGUGCGUGUGUCGGCGCGCCUGCGCGUUUUGGUGCCCGCACCUACGUCUGCAUCCGCAGCCGUGCACGGCUGUGCCUUCCCAGCGAGCCGCUUCCAUGUUCGCAGAGCUGUCUGUGCGCGCGCCCGCGCGCCCGCCGGGUGUGUGGAUGGGCGUGCACGCGCGUGUGCACGCGCUUUUGUCUGUCUGGAGCUGGGUGUACGCGCGCACGCGUGCGUCCGUCUGAGCCUAGGGCGACAAUGGCACGCCUUUGUGUGUGCGUGCGCGUGCCGGGCACGGCGGGGCCGGGGCCGGGAGGUGGGGCCCCGACCGUCCCAGCCCUCGGUGUGUGCGUGAAGGGGAGGGGGGGGGCCCUGUUCCUGCUUCCGCGGAAGCUCUUUGUUCUGCGGACCCCUGGCGGAGCGAGGCGGGCCCCUCCGGAGCGAGCGCCCUGGUGGCGAGGGCUGGGUCCGGGAGCCCAGGCCUCCCGCGGCCGCCCCACCGGCGCAGGCCGCCUCCCGCCCUCCGCCUGUGUCGGUUACCCGCGGGAGGGGCCGCGAAGGCCGGGGCCCCGCCCGCAGAUCCUGAAAGACCGUGGCUGCGGGCUGCGUCUCGUUCGCGAUCAUUAG
RNAcentral lists this long non-coding RNA (1044 nucleotides) under Sarcophilus harrisii (Tasmanian devil). RNAcentral's name for it is "lncRNA (ENSSHAG00000026278.1)". Lineage: Eukaryota; Metazoa; Chordata; Mammalia; Dasyuromorphia; Dasyuridae. The record is from RNAcentral.